UCAAUGGGCGAAAGCCUGACGGAGCAACGCCGCGUGAGUGAUGAAGGUCUUCGGAUCGUAAAACUCUGUUAUUAGGGAAGAACAUACGUGUAAGUAACUAUGCACGUCUUGACGGUACCUAAUCAGAAAGCCACGGCUAACUACGUGCCAGCAGCCGCGGUAAUACGUAGGUGGCAAGCGUUAUCCGGAAUUAUUGGGCGUAAAGCGCGCGUAGGCGGUUUUUUAAGUCUGAUGUGAAAGCCCACGGCUCAACCGUGGAGGGUCAUUGGAAACUGUAAAACUUGAGUGCAGAAGAGGAAAGUGGAAUUCCAUGUGUAGCGGUGAAAUGCGCAGAGAUAUGGAGGAACACCAGUGGCGAAGGCGACUUUCUGGUCUGUAACUGACGCUGAUGUGCGAAAGCGUGGGGAUCAAACAGGAUUAGAUACCUGGGGGUAGUCCUAA
RNAcentral lists this ribosomal RNA (441 nucleotides) under Staphylococcus haemolyticus. Its description in RNAcentral is "bacterial SSU rRNA". It matches the Rfam family "Bacterial small subunit ribosomal RNA", at positions 368 to 799 of the family's 1533-position model. Lineage: Bacteria; Bacillati; Bacillota; Bacilli; Caryophanales; Staphylococcaceae. The record is from RNAcentral.